UCUCUCUUUCUCUUAAAAUUUUGUUCCCUAUCAUAACUCGAUCUUCAUCUUUCUCGUUUCGAUCGACGUUUGCAGUUUUGGCUACUUGUUGCAGUACUCAUUCUUUUAAGCAAAAAAACCAGUUUUUAUCUGGUGGAUUUCGAUAAUGAAGAUGAUCAUAUUAUCUCAUGGGUCUUCUCUAAUCCUAUUACCAGGAAUAUUAAUUGGAUUCAGAAACAACCUAAUGGAAACGAUGAGGUAAGUUGACAGUUUUAUUGCAUUAUGUUGUCAUGCUUUCCUUCUGUUUUCACAUGGUGAAAAUACUUCAACUAUCAGUUCAAUCUUGCAAUUUGACAUACUAUAUAUGCUUUUCAAUGCUUUGCAGGCAAGUUUCAGACAGAAAUUGAGAAGAGUUGGGCAACUGAGAUUAUUUCUAGAAUAAACUUGAGGUUGGGAAAUACUGUUCGAUAGUGAACUCUCGAUUCAAGUGCUUGUUUUCUCGUUCUCAACCGGUUAAGCUCUUUGUUGCAUCAUCACCCGACAGAACUUCCCUAGCACACUUUUG
This is a long non-coding RNA of Papaver somniferum (opium poppy), 544 nucleotides long. RefSeq lists it as uncharacterized. The record is from RefSeq and is a predicted model, not a curated record. The transcript has 3 exons. NCBI's taxonomy places the organism in Eukaryota, Viridiplantae, Streptophyta, Magnoliopsida, Ranunculales, Papaveraceae.